This 85-nucleotide transfer RNA is filed under the name Malaciobacter mytili. RNAcentral describes it as "tRNA-Leu". It matches the Rfam family "tRNA". Rfam says of the family: Transfer RNA (tRNA) molecules are approximately 80 nucleotides in length. Their secondary structure includes four short double-helical elements and three loops (D, anti-codon, and T loops). Further hydrogen bonds mediate the characteristic L-shaped molecular structure. tRNAs have two regions of fundamental functional importance: the anti-codon, which is responsible for specific mRNA codon recognition, and the 3' end, to which the tRNAs corresponding amino acid is attached (by aminoacyl-tRNA synthetases). tRNAs cope with the degeneracy of the genetic code in two manners: having more than one tRNA (with a specific anti-codon) for a particular amino acid; and 'wobble' base-pairing, i.e. permitting non-standard base-pairing at the 3rd anti-codon position. The record is from RNAcentral. Lineage: Bacteria; Pseudomonadati; Campylobacterota; Epsilonproteobacteria; Campylobacterales; Arcobacteraceae. RNAcentral also lists the same sequence under 3 other names.
GCCUGUAUGGUGAAAUUGGUAUACACGCUAGAUUCAAAAUCUGGUUCCUUCGGGAGUGUCGGUUCGACUCCGACUACAGGUACCA